AGUGAACGCUGGCGGUAGGCCUAACACAUGCAAGUCGAACGGCAGCACAGUAAGAGCUUGCUCUUACGGGUGGCGAGUGGCGGACGGGUGAGGAAUACAUCGGAAUCUACUUUUUCGUGGGGGAUAACGUAGGGAAACUUACGCUAAUACCGCAUACGACCUACGGGUGAAAGCAGGGGAUCUUCGGACCUUGCGCGAUUGAAUGAGCCGAUGUCGGAUUAGCUAGUUGGAGGGGUAAAGGCCCACCAAGGCGACGAUCCGUAGCUGGUCUGAGAGGAUGAUCAGCCACACUGGAACUGAGACACGGUCCAGACUCCUACGGGAGGCAGCAGUGGGGAUUAUUGGACAAUGGGCGCAAGCCUGAUCCAGCCAUACCGCGUGGGUGAAGAAGGCCUUCGGGUUGUAAAGCCCUUUUGUUGGGAAAGAAAAGCAGCAGGUUAAUACCCCGCUGUUCUGACGGUACCCAAAGAAUAAGCACCGGCUAACUUCGUG
This 492-nucleotide ribosomal RNA is filed under the name uncultured bacterium. RNAcentral describes it as "partial 16S ribosomal RNA". It matches the Rfam family "Bacterial small subunit ribosomal RNA", at positions 29 to 507 of the family's 1533-position model. The record is from RNAcentral.